Molecule: long non-coding RNA, 411 nt
Filed under: Mytilus galloprovincialis (Mediterranean mussel)
Lineage: Eukaryota; Metazoa; Mollusca; Bivalvia; Mytilida; Mytilidae
Source: RNAcentral
GUGGAAGGACAUGAAAUAACUAUGAAACACUGUCCCAGGUUAGGGGAGGGUUGAGGGCUCACAAAUAUGUUUAACCCCGCCACAUUCUGUAUGUGCCUGUCCCAAGUCAGGAGCCUGUAGUACAGUGGUUGUCGUUGGUUCAAGUCUGUCAUAUAUGUUUUUCAUAAAAUGUUUUGUCAUAACUUAGGCCGUUAGUUUUCUCAAUUGAAUUGUUUCAUAUUUGUCAUGUUGGGGCCUUUUAUAGCCGACUUUACGGUAUGGGUUUUCUCAUUGUUGAAGCUCGCACAGUUGCCUUUAAUUGCUUACCUCCACUUUAUUUGAACUUUGGUGGAUAGUUGUUUAAUUGGCAAUCAUAUCAAAUCUCCUUAUUUUUACAUAAAAGUUUUGAUAUUGGCGAUGAAAGGAAAAGGG